This 305-nucleotide ribosomal RNA is filed under the name uncultured bacterium. RNAcentral describes it as "bacterial SSU rRNA". It matches the Rfam family "Bacterial small subunit ribosomal RNA", at positions 335 to 638 of the family's 1533-position model. The record is from RNAcentral.
ACUCCUACGGGGGGCAGCAGUGAGGAAUAUUGGUCAAUGGUCGGGAGACUGAACCAGCCAAGCCGCGUGAGGGAUGAAGGUACAGAGUAUCGUAAACCUCUUUUGUCAGGGAACAAAGGCGGGGACGUGUCCCCGGAUGAGUGUACCUGAAGAAAAAGCAUCGGCUAACUCCGUGCCAGCAGCUGCGGUAAUACGGAGGAUGCGAGCGUUAUCCGGAUUUAUUGGGUUUAAAGAGUGCGUAGGCGGACAGUCAAGUCAGCGGUAAAAAUGCGGUGCUCAACGCCAUACAGCCGUUGAAACUGGCG